AUACUCCAUCCAGCCCAACCUUCCUUGCCCACUCCUCUCGAUCCCAUCGUUCGUGGCCGCCGCCGUCCGAGGGGAGUCGCCGCCGCCGCGUCUCUCGAUCCCAUCGGCCCCGUCGGAUCUCGCCGCUGGCGGACGACUCGAGAAGACCCCGCCGGAUCUCGCCCUCGUCAUCAGUUCUGGAUCGCCGCCGCCGCCGAUCCCCUCCGGAAAACAACGCCGAUCCCCUGCUCGCCCACGCACGCUGCCGCGGAUGAAGGCCGCCUGCUCGCGAUCCCCAAACCUGCUGGCGCCGCGCUCCGUAGGAUCCAAGUACGCCCCUCUCCGUGGUGUUCACUGAUUGCUUGGAGCAACAACGUGUUGUUGGAGUUGCCGAAGCAUUAGGUGAUUCGAUUGUGUGCGUUUGCUGGAUUUGUUUGACGAAGGAAAGAUGACGAUGAAGGACACACAGAGGAGUGUGAGCGGUGAUGGUACCAAGGUUACCGGCAGGUAUGCAUGCAGGAACUGACUGUACAGUGUUCCUAUAAUGCUACUGGUUUUAACGUCUGUACUGUGAUGCUACUGGCAGUUUAAAUAAAUCUGCUAUCAUUUGGGAUGUGAGUUGUCACAACUCGCUGUGCUCUGGUGUUCAGCUCAGAAUUUCUUUUGGGAAUGAUUCCUCUGAAUAGACUACUUAUGCUUGACAUUUUACUUUUGUUAUUUCUAUUUGUAACUCAAUUUCGGUAUCCUCUCAAAUUGACAAUACUUUUUCUGGAUAUGGUAGUUGAGAAUAGUUAUGGUAUAUAGCGGAGUUAGCCCAUCCUCACCAAUGACUCUUCCUCAGGGAUUUGCUGAACUAGAGUUAGUAAUGGGGGUAUUGCAGACUGUUUAGAAUUAUGGGGGUAUUGCAGACUUUAGAAACUGAAUUAAAUUUUUGUGCAAUUGAAAAAGGUGUAUACAACUUGAAUUUAUUAGGUAGUAUAGGAGAGAUAUGAAAUUUUAAAAUUGUUAGUCAGAUUUGUGUGUUGUUUUGGGUAGUAUUCAGUUUUGUUCCAUCUGAGAUGCCAAUAAUGCACAUGUGAUAUUAUCUACAUAAUUCAGUUUAUACGGCUUCCCAUAUUCCAAUGGUUGUAUUUUGCUAAAUUGCCAUCUACUUACUGGAAUUCUCACAAAUAGAAGUGCAGUCAGAAGGUAAAAAGGAUGGUAUGGUAUGUCUCCAUUCACAUGGUACUGAACUGUUAGUGAUUCUUUGUGUUAUUCUGCAGACUUGAACUUAGUUUCUAUGGUUUUCUUUUUCUGUUCAUAGACGAGAGUAUAGUCUGAAGGGAAAAAUUGGUAUGCUCUGAAGGGUGUGCAAGAACAGUGAGAUUUAUAUUACUGAAUGUAUUGUUAACAAUUUGUUAUUUUGCAGACUUGCUCUCAGUUUUUAUUCUUGGCAGGUGAUUCUUCAUGAUAAUUUUUGUAGAGGAACAUUUUUGGUAAGCGUAUUGUAAUAUUGACUCCCACCUUUUUAUUUACAUGUAAAGAUGACCAAUUGGUAAUUUUAAAAUUUAAAUGUAAAUUUAACUUAUUUUGUGAAAUAACAUCAUGUCGUUCAGAUAAUUUGAUUUCCCUCUAUGAUAUUCUUUGGCUUUAGUAUAUCUCAGGACAAAGUUGUCAGAAGCUCUAUGCUUCAUAACCAAAACAUAAUCUCCUUUUUGUUAUUUGAUUUGCAUCAUGAUGUGUGCCCAUAUGUUCCCCUGUUGCUUAAAAAAAUCAACUUCCGGUGCAACACACGUGCAUAUACCUAUCAUGACAAAUAAACCUCACGAUGAAAGCAUUUAUGUACCUAUUUAAUUUGUGAUGGCAGCGAUGGGGCUGGGAACGGUGAUCGGUGGUGCUGGUGUCGGCAGUGCGGUACAAGGUCAGGAUGCGGGAUGGGACAGCCAUCCGUGUGAGGCAGUCGGCGGCGAGGGUUUGUGGCAUCACGAGGAGCGCCCGCGGAUUCAAGGUGUUGGCCCGAGACCUCCGACGAGGGAGGAGACGAUGUUAGUAUUUCCAUAGGAAAAAAACAAGAGAAGAAGAACAAGAACAACGACGGCAAUCUCGGGUUCCAGGUACGAUGGAGCCGGCGGCGAAGCGCAUGGCGCUCGCAAACGUGAUAGUGGAUGGCGACGAUACCCUCAACUGCGGCAUCUGCUACCUCCCUCUCAAGCCACCAGUCUUCUAGUGUGGCGUCGGUCAUACCAUAUCCUCGUGGUGCCACGACAAGAUGGUGGCGGCAAGGAGGUGCCGUGUGUGUCACAUCCGGUUGACCGGCGGCUAUCGCUGGAACAUCGCACUGGAGAGGCUAACAGAGUCCAUCCGGGUGCCGUGCGCCAACGCCGCGCACGGCUGCACUGCCACGCCGGCCUACUAUGACCACCCCGACCACCUCAAGGCGUGCCCUCACGACGCCGUGCUAUUGCCCGCAGGCAGACUGCGGUUUCGCUAGCUCCACGGCGGCACUCCUGGACCACUUUGCCGACACGCACGGGUGGCCGUGCAUGACCGGGCUUGGGCCUGGGCGUGCAUCGAGGUCCAGCUCUGUGACGGCUUCAACGCCUUCUCGGCCCGUGCCCAAUGCCGGCAGUACCUGUUCCUGCUGAACGUGGCGUUGAACCCGUUUGGCCGAGCGGUCUCCGUGCUCUCCCUGCAUCCUCGGGCGUUGUCGGCGGCGCCAUGUUCUUUGGAGUUCGAGGUAAGACUCAGGUACUGCUGCAACAUCAACCACCGUGGCGACACCAGGAAACUACGUUUAAAGUAGGGUGCACUGAUCUCUCCGAACUCAGAUUUAUGACAAGGACACAAGCAAAUUUAUAGCAUCCGUUGUGAUGAUACAAGGGAAGUAAGCAUAGAUGCGCUCAACGUGAUGAUAGGUGGGAGAGCUCGGCCUAUGCUGCCAACUGAUCUGCAGCGGUGCAGAAGGAGAUUUCAAAAGCAGGGCAAGCGAGAGCGACUGUUCUAUUGAUGGUCAAAAGGGAGGGCUUGGCAAGAGAGAUUGAGGGAGCUCUACUACCUCGAUCUUGGCAUAGAACCUGAUGGCAUCAUGCCCAGGAAACUUCCUUCUUCAGUAUGUAUGGGGAUUUAUAUGACACCAAAAGAGAAGUCCGGCGUGUUUCUUGGUUCUAUGGAACCCCUCGACCGGAAGCAAAUAGAUCACAUCGCAAGUUGCUUGCCCAAUAUAAUCGUGCCGCAAGUUACCAACAUCGCGUGCUUAUACACCAUCGACUUUGCUGGAAAUCUAUCUGUCCGUGCUCCACCGUCUGUCGGAACUUCUUCUGCCCAUGCUACACCUGAGCUCAACACUGCAUCGCCCGGUUCGUUUGCUUGCUUCCUUUGCUUGGCUCAGGAAGGAGAAGGCCAGGACUAGCGACAAGAACCUAAGGGUCUUGCGUCACGGCCUUUGCCCAGAAGGCGAAGAACUAAAACUAUUUUUUUUUACCUUCCAAAAAAUUACAUGGUACAUAACUACUCCCUCCGUUCAGAAAUACUUGUCAUCAAAAUGGACAAAAGAAGACAUAUCUAGACGUAUUUUAGUUCUAGAUACAUUCUUUUUUGUCCAUUUUGAUGACAAGUAUUUUCGGGCGGAGGGAGUAUUAUUAGACUUUAGAUCUCAACCAUUAUAAUCUAGACCAAUUGAUCUUUGCCCCGUUUUUUCUGGUAUGUAUACUACAAAUCUAUUUUCCAAUCCAAGUACACAAA
Molecule: long non-coding RNA, 3699 nt
Organism: Triticum aestivum (bread wheat)
Lineage: Eukaryota; Viridiplantae; Streptophyta; Magnoliopsida; Poales; Poaceae
Exons: 6
Source: RefSeq, a predicted model, not a curated record